AUAAAGGUGGCAGAAUAGUGCGUUAGGUUUAAGCUCUAAAUAUGAAUUUACUUCUCUUUAUA
This 62-nucleotide transfer RNA is filed under the name Coralliophila richardi. Its description in RNAcentral is "tRNA-Leu". The record is from RNAcentral. Lineage: Eukaryota; Metazoa; Mollusca; Gastropoda; Neogastropoda; Muricidae.